RNAcentral lists this ribosomal RNA (477 nucleotides) under Pirateolea nola. RNAcentral describes it as "partial 16S large subunit ribosomal RNA". The record is from RNAcentral. Lineage: Eukaryota; Metazoa; Arthropoda; Insecta; Lepidoptera; Noctuidae.
UGUCUUUUUGAAAUUAAUAUAAAGUUUAAUCUGCCCACUGAUUUAAUAAUUGAAGGGCUGCAGUAUAUUGACUGUACAAAGGUAGCAUAAUCAUUAGUCAUUUAAUUGAUGACUUGUAUGAAGGAUUGGAUGAAAUAUAAUCUGUCUCUUAAUUAAUAAUAGAAUUUAAUUUUUUAAUUAAAAAGUUAAAAUGGUUUAAAAAGACGAGAAGACCCUAUAGAGUUUUAUAAAUAAAUUAAUUAAGAUUAUUUAGUAAUAUAAAAUUAAAAUUAAAUUAUUUAUUAUAUUGGGGUGAUAGAAAAAUAUAAUUAACUUUUUUUAUAAAUUAAACAUUUAUAAGUGAUUAAAUGAUCCAGUAUUAUUGAUUAUAAGAAAAAAUUACCUUAGGGAUAACAGCGUAAUUUUUUUUUUUAGUUCACAUAAGAAAAAGAGUUUGCGACCUCGAUGUUGGAUUAAGAUAAAAUUUAAAUGCAGAAG